GCCCAUAUAGCUCAGUGGUAGAGCACUUCCUUGGUAAGGAAGGGGUCACCGGUUCAAUCCCGGUUAUGGGCUCCA
Molecule: transfer RNA, 75 nt
Filed under: Chromatiales bacterium
Lineage: Bacteria; Pseudomonadati; Pseudomonadota; Gammaproteobacteria; Chromatiales
Description: tRNA-Thr
Rfam family: tRNA
About the family: Transfer RNA (tRNA) molecules are approximately 80 nucleotides in length. Their secondary structure includes four short double-helical elements and three loops (D, anti-codon, and T loops). Further hydrogen bonds mediate the characteristic L-shaped molecular structure. tRNAs have two regions of fundamental functional importance: the anti-codon, which is responsible for specific mRNA codon recognition, and the 3' end, to which the tRNAs corresponding amino acid is attached (by aminoacyl-tRNA synthetases). tRNAs cope with the degeneracy of the genetic code in two manners: having more than one tRNA (with a specific anti-codon) for a particular amino acid; and 'wobble' base-pairing, i.e. permitting non-standard base-pairing at the 3rd anti-codon position.
Source: RNAcentral